UACGUAGGGUGCAAGCGUUGUCCGGAAUUAUUGGGCGUAAAGAGCUCGUAGGCGGUUUGUUGCGUCGACUGUGAAAACCUGCGGCUCAACCGUGUGGUCUGCAGUCGAUACGGGCAGGCUGGAGUUCGGUAGGGGAGACUGGAAUUCCUGGUGUAGCGGUGAAAUGCGCAGAUAUCAGGAGGAACACCGGUGGCGAAGGCGGGUCUCUGGGCCGAUACUGACGCUGAGGAGCGAAAGCGUGGGGAGCGAACAGG
This 254-nucleotide ribosomal RNA is filed under the name uncultured bacterium. RNAcentral's name for it is "partial 16S ribosomal RNA". It matches the Rfam family "Bacterial small subunit ribosomal RNA", at positions 524 to 776 of the family's 1533-position model. The record is from RNAcentral.